AUUGAACGCUGGCGGCAGGCUUAACACAUGCAAGUCGAGCGGGGUGAUGGUGCUUGCACUAUCACUUAGCGGCGGACGGGUGAGUAAUGCUUAGGAAUCUGCCUAUUAGUGGGGGACAACAUCUCGAAAGGGAUGCUAAUACCGCAUACGUCCUACGGGAGAAAGCAGGGGAUCACUUGUGACCUUGCGCUAAUAGAUGAGCCUAAGUCGGAUUAGCUAGUUGGUGGGGUAAAGGCCUACCAAGGCGACGAUCUGUAGCGGGUCUGAGAGGAUGAUCCGCCACACUGGGACUUAGACACGGCCCAGACUCCGACGGGAGGCAGCAUUGGGGAAUAUUGGACAAUGGGGGGAACCCUGAUCCAGCCAUGCCGCGUGUGUGAAGAAGGCCUUAUGGUUGUAAAGCACUUUAAGCGAGGAGGAGGCUCUUUUGGUUAAUACCCAAGAUAAGUGGACGUUACUCGCAGAAUAAGCACCGGCUAACUCUGUGCCAGCCGCCGCCGUAA
This 503-nucleotide ribosomal RNA is filed under the name uncultured bacterium. RNAcentral's name for it is "partial 16S ribosomal RNA". It matches the Rfam family "Bacterial small subunit ribosomal RNA", at positions 30 to 523 of the family's 1533-position model. The record is from RNAcentral.